UCACAAUAGAAAUGCUCUCCGAUAAAUAGAAAACAGGUACUUUAUUUAUAACUUGUAACAAGCAUGGAAGUAAAUACAUCUCACGCAAACACAAGUCAAUCGUAAGCCAUCAUACUUAACUAUAGCAUAGGUAAAAAUAAGAAAGUAUAGGUAGCCAAAUGUAUUGAAAGGCAAGCCCCUCCAGCCUUUUUAAUGGCUAACAAACUUGGUCAUCUGUUUCCCCAAUGGAUAGUAAUAUCCUCAAUAUAAUUUAAGCUCCUAGAACACAUACAUGUUUGUUUUGCCUACAACACUAUCUCUAGCACUUAGCAGAUAGUAGUCCUCCACAAUCACUAAACAAAGAAUAAUGACAGAAAACUAGGCAUCUAGAGUGACAUUUUUUUAAAAAAGCAACAGAAGGCAUAAAAAAAACAUGAAAAUUAGUAAAUUGGGGUUGGAUGCACAUGACAGAAAACUUCAAAAUAACAAUGCCUUAAGUAAGUUAAUUAUUUUUCUCUCAUAUGAGAGAAGAAUGAAGGUAUGUAGUGCAGAGGAAGUGUGGCAACUUUUCAUAUCAUAAGGAUCCAGGCUCCCAUCUUUCUGCUUUGCCAUUCCCAGUUCAUGGGGUCUAAUCACAAAAAUCACCUCAGGGUUCCAGAAUGGCCACAAGUACAUUAUAUGCAGGAGUAAGAAAGAAGUGAAGAGCAAACUCCUCCCUAAUGUGGAAAUUUCUAGAACAUUCAUCCACUUCAAUUUACAUCUCAUGGCCAGAAUGUGGUCAUCUAUUCAAAUCUAGAUAUAAGGAAAGUAGGGAAAUGGAGUAUUUUAUCUGAAUGGCUAAAACUUGCAUCUGUUCAUAAGGGAGGUGAGUCAGGUGUUUGAAGCCCAUAUGGGCAACUUAGAACGUGUAUCAAAAUAAAAAUUUUAAAAGGGAGUAG
This 917-nucleotide long non-coding RNA is filed under the name Marmota monax (woodchuck). The record is from RNAcentral. Lineage: Eukaryota; Metazoa; Chordata; Mammalia; Rodentia; Sciuridae.